AUGUGUGUGUGUGAGGUGGAAUGGACCACAGUGAAAGGAAUGGCUCCUAUUUAUAGUGGGGUUAGUAGCUAUGUCGGUUUGGAGAGGCAUUACAUCUGGCAUGCAUGCGUGGUUAGGCUUGCAUGCAUGCCUCCACUUGUGUCUCUUGUAGGCUGUACUAGGGACAAGUGUAAUUUGCUUGACUGGCCAUUAGUUGGCAUUUACUUUAUGUGGAAAAAAAUGAGACCAAGAUCUGAUUAUAAAUUUGUAGAAUACAUGGAGGUUUGGAAAAUAUUUUGUUGUGCAUGGUCAAAUGCUAUUUGCUAUAAUAAAAAUUAA
This 318-nucleotide ribosomal RNA is filed under the name Triticum aestivum (bread wheat). RNAcentral's name for it is "partial small subunit ribosomal RNA". Lineage: Eukaryota; Viridiplantae; Streptophyta; Magnoliopsida; Poales; Poaceae. The record is from RNAcentral.